UUUCCGUAGGUGAACCUGCGGAAGGAUCAUUAUUGUAUAACCGAGGUGCGAGGGCUGUCGCUGACCCGAAAGGUCGUGCACGCCCGAGUGCCCUCACACACAUCCAUCUCACCCCUAUGUGCACCACCGCGUGGGUCCCCCUUUGGCGUGUUCGGAGGGGGGCUUACGUUUUCAAACAAACUUUGUAUGCAGUGUAGAAUGUAUUUUUUGUUUUUGCGAUCACGCAAUCAAUACAACUUUCAACAACGGAUCUCUUGGCUCUC
Molecule: unclassified non-coding RNA, 263 nt
Filed under: plant metagenome
Description: partial contains small subunit ribosomal RNA, internal transcribed spacer 1, and 5.8S ribosomal RNA
Source: RNAcentral